Molecule: ribosomal RNA, 155 nt
Filed under: Musa schizocarpa
Lineage: Eukaryota; Viridiplantae; Streptophyta; Magnoliopsida; Zingiberales; Musaceae
Also listed under: 1 other name
Description: 5.8S ribosomal RNA
Rfam family: 5.8S ribosomal RNA
About the family: 5.8S ribosomal RNA (5.8S rRNA) is a component of the large subunit of the eukaryotic ribosome. It is transcribed by RNA polymerase I as part of the 45S precursor that also contains 18S and 28S rRNA.
Source: RNAcentral
CUCUCGGCAAUGGAUAUCUCGGCUCUCGCAUCGAUGAAGAACGUAGCGAAAUGCGAUACCUGGUGUGAAUUGCAGAAUCCCGUGAACCAUCGAGUCUUUGAACGCAAGUUGCGCCCGAGGCCAUCCGGCUAAGGGCACGCCUGCCUGGGCGUCAC